RNAcentral lists this ribosomal RNA (797 nucleotides) under uncultured bacterium. Its description in RNAcentral is "bacterial SSU rRNA". It matches the Rfam family "Bacterial small subunit ribosomal RNA", at positions 100 to 912 of the family's 1533-position model. The record is from RNAcentral.
GAACGGGUGAGUACACGUGGGUGAUCUGCCCUGCACUUUGGGAUAAGCCUGGGAAACUGGGUCUAAUACCGAAUAGGACCACGCGCUUCAUGGUGUGUGGUGGAAAGCUUUUGCGGUGUGGGAUGGGCCCGCGNCNNNUCAGCUUGUUGGUGGGUAAUGGCCUACCAAGGCGACGACGGGUAGCCGGCCUGAGAGGGUGACCGGCCACACUGGGACUGAGAUACGGCCCAGACUCCUACGGGAGGCAGCAGUGGGGAAUAUUGCACAAUGGGCGCAAGCCUGAUGCAGCGACGCCGCGUGAGGGGUGACGGCCUUCGGGUUGUAAACCUCUUUCAAUAGGGACGAAGCGCAAGUGACGGUACCUAUAGAAGAAGCACCGGCCAACUACGUGCCAGCAGCCGCGGUAAUACGUAGGGUGCGAGCGUUGUCCGGAAUUACUGGGCGUAAAGAGCUCGUAGGUGGUUUGUCGCGUUGUUCGUGAAAACUCACAGCUUAACUGUGGGCGUGCGGGCGAUACGGGCAGACUAGAGUACUGCAGGGGAGACUGGAAUUCCUGGUGUAGCGGUGGAAUGCGCAGAUAUCAGGAGGAACACCGGUGGCGAAGGCGGGUCUCUGGGCAGUAACUGACGCUGAGGAGCGAAAGCGUGGGGAGCGAACAGGAUUAGAUACCCUGGUAGUCCACGCCGUAAACGGUGGGUACUAGGUGUGGGUUCCUUCCUUGGGAUCCGUGCCGUAGCUAACGCAUUAAGUACCCCGCCUGGGGAGUACGGCCGCAAGGCUAAAACUCAAAGGAAUUG